AUAGUUGAAGACGAACCGUUCGAUCUUCCAAAUACAUAGUCUUGCUUAGAAAGUCUAUACCAAUAGUAGCCUUGGACCCUGUUAGUAAAGAAGUUUUAAUUAUAGUUACUUACUUGAUAAGUAUUAUCAAACUGAUCGUACAUAAAUCGUGUAAUUAACGAUGUUUUGCCAACUGACUGCUCACCGAGAAAAACCAACUUAAAUUUACGCAAAGAA
This is a non-coding RNA of Schizosaccharomyces pombe (fission yeast), 216 nucleotides long. The record is from the annotation of a GenBank genome assembly. Lineage: Eukaryota; Fungi; Ascomycota; Schizosaccharomycetes; Schizosaccharomycetales; Schizosaccharomycetaceae.